CAGAGGGUGCAAACGUUGUUCGGAAUUACUGGGGCGUAAAGCGCGUGUAGGCGGCCCUGCAAGUCGGGUGUGAAAUCCCACGGCUCAACCGUGGAAGUGCACUCGAAACUGCAGGGCUAGAGUCCUGGAGAGGAAGGUGGAAUGCUUGGUGUAGAGGUGAAAUUCGUAGAUAUCAAGCGGAACACCGGUGGCGAAGGCGGCCUUCUCGGACAGUGACUGACGCUGAGACGCGAAAGCGUGGGGAGCAAACAGGAUUAGAUACCCUGGUAGUCCACGCCGUAAACGAUGAGUGCUAGGUGUCGACGGGCUUUGACCCUCGUGGUGCCGAAGCUAACGCGUUAAGCACUCCGCCGUGGGGAGUACGGUCGCAAGACUA
Molecule: ribosomal RNA, 376 nt
Filed under: uncultured organism
Description: bacterial SSU rRNA
Rfam family: Bacterial small subunit ribosomal RNA
Source: RNAcentral